Molecule: long non-coding RNA, 645 nt
Filed under: Papio anubis (olive baboon)
Lineage: Eukaryota; Metazoa; Chordata; Mammalia; Primates; Cercopithecidae
Description: lncRNA (ENSPANG00000040937.1)
Source: RNAcentral
GAUAGCUGUGCGGCUGUUGCCCAUGGAGCAGCGACUAUGGAGCCAGGUGCUUUCAAGAACAUGCGAAGCUUAAAUCAGACACGCCAAAUGCUUAGAACAUAUCCCUGGCAUAGGAGUGCCCUGAAACUGUUUGCAAUUGUCAUUAUUUUUACCCCAGAUGACGGUAGUUGGGGAGACUCGUGGAAGCUCAAUCAGAGGGAAAAUCUCAUGGUUAAGUGCGCUGGGCACUCCACUGUCAACUGGGAAUUAUUUUCUUCUGUGGCUUUCCUUUUAGUCCCUCCAGAGUGUUUCCAAGGAGCAGCCAGGAUCCGUGACUUGCCCAGGGACUUAGUGAGUCCAGCCAGCCCAGAGUCCAGGCCCUGCUGCUCAGCCAACUCCUGGCUGCUCAAAAGCACCAGGCUGUUCUGUGAUCACUACCGCAGAAUUGCAGCCGAAUGCCAGCCACAAAACUCUUUGGCAAUUGCAGAACGCAGGUCUCAUUCCUGUGUAACCAGGGCCUUUGCACUUGCUGUGUGUUUGCUGUGCUCUUCCUCCACCCACUCCAUCUCAUCACUGUCUUCUCAGCUGAGACGUCACCGCCUCAGAAGGGACUUCUUUCUCACCACCUCUGGAGCGUCGCCAUCUUUAGUCCCCUCAGCAUAUUGA